RNAcentral lists this ribosomal RNA (468 nucleotides) under uncultured bacterium. RNAcentral describes it as "partial 16S ribosomal RNA". It matches the Rfam family "Bacterial small subunit ribosomal RNA", at positions 28 to 507 of the family's 1533-position model. The record is from RNAcentral.
GACGAACGCUGGCGGCGUGCUUAACACAUGCAAGUCGAACGGAAAGGCCCUGCUUUUGUGGGGUGCUCGAGUGGCGAACGGGUGAGUAACACGUGGGUAACCUGCCCUUGACUUUGGGAUAACUUCAGGAAACUGGGGCUAAUACCGGAUAGGAGCUCCUGCUGCAUGGUGGGGGUUGGAAAGUUUCGGCGGUUGGGGAUGGACUCGCGGCUUAUCAGCUUGUUGGUGGGGUAGUGGCUUACCAGGGCUUUGACGGGUAGCCGGCCUGAGAGGGUGACCGGCCACAUUGGGACUGAGAUACGGCCCAGACUCCUACGGGAGGCAGCAGUGGGGAAUAUUGCACAAUGGGCGGAAGCCUGAUGCAGCAACGCCGCGUGCGGGAUGACGGCCUUCGGGUUGUAAACCGCUUUCGCCUGUGACGAAGCGUGAGUGACGGUAAUGGGUAAAGAAGCACCGGCUAACUACGUG